RNAcentral lists this ribosomal RNA (594 nucleotides) under Microporus xanthopus. Its description in RNAcentral is "LSU rRNA". It matches the Rfam family "Eukaryotic large subunit ribosomal RNA", at positions 89 to 667 of the family's 3401-position model. The record is from RNAcentral. Lineage: Eukaryota; Fungi; Basidiomycota; Agaricomycetes; Polyporales; Polyporaceae.
GCGAGUGAAGCGGGAUAAGCUCAAAUUUAAAAUCUGGCGGUCUUUGGCCGUCCGAGUUGUAGUCUGGAGAAGUGCUUUCCGCGCUGGACCGUGUAUAAGUCUCUUGGAACAGAGCGUCAUAGAGGGUGAGAAUCCCGUCUUUGACACGGACUACCAGUGCUUUGUGAUGCGCUCUCAAAGAGUCGAGUUGUUUGGGAAUGCAGCUCAAAAUGGGUGGUAAAUUCCAUCUAAAGCUAAAUAUUGGCGAGAGACCGAUAGCGAACAAGUACCGUGAGGGAAAGAUGAAAAGCACUUUGGAAAGAGAGUUAAACAGUACGUGAAAUUGCUGAAAGGGAAACGCUUGAAGUCAGUCGCGUCUGCCGGAACUCAGCCUUGCUUUUGCUUGGUGCAUUUUCCGGUUGACGGGCCAGCAUCGAUUUUGACCGUCGGAAAAGGGCUAGGGAAAUGUGGCACCUUCGGGUGUGUUAUAGUCUCUAGUCGCAUACGGCGGUUGGGAUCGAGGACCGCAGCGCGCCGCAAGGCAGGGGUUCGCCCACUUUCGCGCUUAGGAUGCUGGCAUAAUGGCUUUAAACGACCCGUCUUGAAACACGGACC